GGAGAGGUAGCGUAAUUGGUAACGCAGCGGUCUUGAAAACCGCCGCCCUUUACGGGCUUGCAGGUUCGAGUCCUGUCCUCUCCGCCA
Molecule: transfer RNA, 87 nt
Filed under: Pseudomonadota bacterium
Lineage: Bacteria; Pseudomonadati; Pseudomonadota
Also listed under: 2 other names
Description: tRNA-Ser
Rfam family: tRNA
About the family: Transfer RNA (tRNA) molecules are approximately 80 nucleotides in length. Their secondary structure includes four short double-helical elements and three loops (D, anti-codon, and T loops). Further hydrogen bonds mediate the characteristic L-shaped molecular structure. tRNAs have two regions of fundamental functional importance: the anti-codon, which is responsible for specific mRNA codon recognition, and the 3' end, to which the tRNAs corresponding amino acid is attached (by aminoacyl-tRNA synthetases). tRNAs cope with the degeneracy of the genetic code in two manners: having more than one tRNA (with a specific anti-codon) for a particular amino acid; and 'wobble' base-pairing, i.e. permitting non-standard base-pairing at the 3rd anti-codon position.
Source: RNAcentral